CCUACGGGAGGCAGCAGUGGGGGAUAUUGCACAAUGGGGGAAACCCUGAUGCAGCGACGCCGCGUGGGUGAAGAAGCGCCUCGGCGCGUAAAGCCCUGUCAGCAGGGAAGAAAAUGACGGUAUCUAUAGAAGAAGCCCCGGCUAACUACGUGCCAGCAGCCGCGGUAAUACGGAGGGGGCCAGCGUUAUCCGGAUGUACUGGGUGUAAAGGGGGCGCAGACGGCGAUGCAAGCCAGGAGUGAAAGCCCGGGGCUCAACCGCGGGACUGCUCUUGGAACUGCGUGGCUAGAGUGCAGGAGGGGCAGGCGGAAUUCGUGGUGUAGCGGUGAAAUGCGUAGAUAUCAGGAGGAACACCGGUGGCGAAGGCGGCCUGCUGGACUGCAACUGACGUUGAGGCCCGAAAGCGUGGGGAGCAAACAGGAUUAGAUACCCUUGUAGUC
RNAcentral lists this ribosomal RNA (440 nucleotides) under uncultured bacterium. RNAcentral describes it as "partial 16S ribosomal RNA". It matches the Rfam family "Bacterial small subunit ribosomal RNA", at positions 338 to 795 of the family's 1533-position model. The record is from RNAcentral.